CCGGGACGGGCGGACCCGGGGCGACCGCGGGCUGGGGCGCACUGACCGACCGACCGACUGACUGACACCCUCACGCUGACUGACACCCUCACGCUGACUGACCGACGGACACCCUCCCGCCGACUGACACCCUCACACUGACAGACUUACUGACACCCUCACACCGACUGACACCCUCACACCGACUGACACCCUCGCACCGACACGCUCACGCACUGACACAGCCUCGCACGCUCUGACACAGGCAUAACCUCCCGAGCUGACUGACACUCACGCACACGCACUCCUGUGCACGCUGGCAGGCUGACACAGGCUGACACGCACACUCGCACAGGCUGGCACGCACACACACACUCGGAGACACCAGCCCUGGCCCGUCAGGCACAUCCAUGGGCAGUUACACGCUCACAGACCCAGUGAGGCACACCACCCCCACCCCAAAAGUGACCCUCAUCGCCUGCCCGCAGCCAGGGGCACAGACACGCUCGUGGCACUUGCACCGGUGUCCCGUGCUGCCUGCGCUCACGCUGGUGGGCACUGCCAUGUUCUCACAGUUCCGUGCUCAGUUAGGCACUUACACGCUCACUUACUUACUCACUAGCCUGUAUGCUCACAUGCUUCUAGGGUUUAUACGCUGGCUUAUAUGCUCAUGUGCUUGUAGGCACUUAUAUGCUCAUGGUCGUAUGCUAUAAGGCACUUAGACACUCAGGCGCUCACACGUGCUGCUAGGCUCACACGCUUGUGCUCACACUUGUAGGCAUUUACGCUUACUUGUAUUCGCAUGCUUGUACACACCUAUCCAAGAGCAUCCCUCACUGCCUGCCCCACACCUGUGGGUGCACUCACAUGCUUACAAGGAUUUGCACUCUCCUGCAUGCACACACACUCAUAAGCACUUACACCCCUCAGUAUUUCCCUCGUUCCCACCUGCGUGUGCACCUGGCAGCACACUCACAGGUGCUUCUUCACCCUCAGGUGUCUCUCACUGCCUGCUCAUGUGCACACAGUGACACACACCCCACGGUGUCCCUUGUUUGCCCCUCACACGCCCCCAUACUCGUGUCCCUCACUGCUUGCCACUGUAGACACAUGCUUUCAUACACGCUCACAUGUGUGUACUCACACCCCGGUUAUUGUAGUGCUUUGCCACCCAUGUACACCCCUGUAUGUGUGUGCUCAUGUUGUAGUGUCUGCACUGUCUGCCACUUUUAUGCAGUCACGUACGCUCACCGCUGCAUCGUGGUGUCCUUGCUGCCUGCCACAUGCUCGUAUACACCUGCGUAUACGUACAGACACGCAUGUGCAGUUGCACCAGCAUAUCACAAUUUCCACUUUGCCUGUUACCUACACACACGUCUUCCUCCAGCCUCCUCCCUACAGACUCACACCAGCAUAUUGCAUAGUCCUGCUUGCGCACGCACGUGCACCCUGCAGUCUUCCUCAGCCCCUCUCGGGUGUGUGCACACACAACCCAGCGCAUCACUGAGGAUCCCACUGGCUGCUUCUCUCUUAGGCACACGCUUCCACCGAGCUUGCCCUUGCAUUGCACACGUACACUGACACGGCAGUGAGUGUUCCACUGCCUGCCGCUCGCGCAAACACACUCUACAGAGUCCCUGUUCUCUUCUCCCGCACAAAGGGUUAUCUACCACCUCUCCACCAUAAGGCCAUCUUCUUUUUCAGUCACCUCUCUCACAAGCAAGCCACUGCUCUUCGAAACACACGCGUACAUAUCCAAGCAAGUCACCCGUUGCCUUUAUGAGUCCAGCUUUCCUGUACACACACACCACAGGAUCACCCGCUGCAUGGCGUGUCUGUACAGGGGAAUCCUGCCUCCUGCUUUUGGCACAUGUAACGGAGUCACUUCUGCUUUACGCUCACACCUCCGCAGGGCAUCUGCCACCUUUUGCACGUGCGAGUGCAAUAUGGUUACCCACUAUCAGAUACCCCACAAGUCUGCACCUUCUGCCACGCACACGAGUGACGGAGCCACCUGGUACCUGACAGACACACGAACGCGCUUGAAGGCUGUCAGUUACCACAAGGCCAUCUGUCUGACUCACACAGGUAUAGAUACUUAUAUAUAUGGAGCUAUAUAUGUUUCCCUCACACCCCAGCCUCGUGUUAGCUGUCACAUGCGGUGCUCCCCAUCAGUAUGUGUAUUGCACAAAACCUGAAUUUCCGUUAGUUCCCUCCUCCACUUUCUGUUACGCAGAGAGGCAUCCUUUUCCCUCAGUACCUUCAUCGUAUAUUUUGUCCGAAUUGCAGUGCCUUUUCAUACUUUUCAGUCACUUACACCACCCAGACACCUGCCUUCCAGCGUGUUCACUCACACAGUACCACCACCCUGCACUUCACACACACUCUGACAUGCACAGUGCCACACUCUCACCUAUGACAUCAACACGGUCGGUGCCCCCAGGCGCAGUACAAAGCGCAGAUGUACUGUGGGACGUGAUUAGAGGUUUCCCCUCCAAGCGCUGCCCCGUGUAGCUCCAUGGUUAUGCGAGGUAGACACGGCUCUGCAAACCCCUACCCUGGUGGGGGCUGUGUUACCUGACGCAUGCCGCCCGUUCAUCGUAGCACCCUGAGCUGUGCCGUCCCUGUGUACCGAUAGCGCUGGCCCAACCUCCGUUUGCAUACAGAGAAGGAGCCUGCCAUCUCCUUAUCCCCUGCUCCGUGUAGUGAACGCUCAGUUUGUUGCUGUAUGUUUCUGAGUGGCUUUUGUCCUUCUGUGAAAGCUCCCUGUUCUCUGAAAUUCAUGCUGUCUCUUGGGUUCCACUUUGCAGACUGUUGAGCCUGGUUCAUGCAUGCCUGCUGGUUUUGAGUGGCAUCGACCCUCUUAAAUGAGUCUUCUUUUUGAAGUCUGGAGCCAUAUAUGGAUGAAAACUUUGUUUCAAGAGCCUUUGCCACCAUGGGAGAGCUCGUACUGAGCGUAAAAAUCAUUCGAAACAGGUUGACAGGAAUUCCAGCAGGCUAUUGCUUUGUAGAAUUUGCAGAUCUAGCUACUGCAGAGAAAUGUUUACACAAAAUCAAUGGAAAACCGCUUCCUGGCGCUACACCGGCAAAGCGGUUUAAAUUGAAUUAUGCAACGUAUGGAAAACAGCCUGAUAACAGUCCAGAAUAUUCACUUUUUGUGGGAGACCUGACUCCUGAUGUGGAUGACGGCAUGUUAUAUGAAUUUUUUGUUAAAGUUUAUCCAUCGUGUAGAGGUGGAAAAGUUGUUUUGGACCAGGCGGGAGUAUCCAAAGGUUACGGGUUCGUGAAAUUCACGGAUGAACUGGAACAGAAAAGAGCGCUGACGGAGUGUCAAGGAGCUGUGGGGUUGGGCUCUAAACCUGUACGCUUGAGUGUGGCUAUACCAAAAGCUAAUCGUGUGAAAUCAAUGGAGUACAAUCAGAUGUACAACUAUAAUUAUAACCAAUAUUACCAACAAUAUCACAACUACUAUGCCCAGUGGGGCUACGACCAGAACACAGGCAGUUACAGCUACAGCUAUCCCCAGUAUGGAUACACGCAGAGCACAAUGCAGACAUAUGAAGAAGUUGGUGAGGAUGCAUUAGAAGCUCCCGGCCAUUAUUGCAGCAACCGAAGCACAGAGGAGACUUUUAUGUGGAGCGACAAAACAGCCGGUCACCUGGAUUUCGUAGGGUUUGUGUUUUGGAAUCCAAGUUAAACAGAGUGUGGGAUUUCGUUUCUCAUGGAUGGCUACAGGAAAAGCCCCGAUUAAUUACCGAUUAAUGGUGUAACACAAGAUGAAAGACAAGGACUCCGUGCAGUAAGAGCGCUUCCCUGUGGGUUGUCUGCUCCCACCUGUCCGGCAGUGGGAAUUGCAGCCUCUUCCAGCGUUCGCUCCCUGUCCUGCGCUACGGAAGAGACUGAUGUGAGGCUCCCAGCCAUGCUGGGAAGUUUCACUGGGGCUUCGCUGAACUUGUGGUUGAGCACCGCAGACACACAGCGGCAUUUGCUCUGCUCCAUCUUCUCGUGAUGGGACGAGGCCUGCUGAGCAUCCGUUGGGUUUUGGUGUUGCACUUUGGGGAUUCUCCCCAUUUAGCGUUUGGAAGAUUCUCUUCCCAAACGCUUGAUGUUUUCCAAGGUUGUCUGAAUUUUUGGGGUGGGUUGGUUUUGCUACAGUGAGCAAGUUUCUGUCCUGCCCUGGGACUUGAGAGGGAGAUUUCUAGGUUCAUUCUGCACAAGUUGCUGCGCCAAGGAGAAUCCGGGAAUGCCUUGUGACUCGGCAGAGCAGCUGCAGGAUCCAUGGAGGAGGUGGAGGAUGGGACCAGCUGCUUGUAACCUGUCCCCACCGGCUUCAACAAGGGCUGUUUUUAGAAGAGCUUAGUCACACAAGAUUUGGGGCUCAUUUCCAGGCUGACUUCUGCUUUAAAUGGUGCCAGGCUUAUUUUGCUGGUCAUCUGGCAUGCUCGUGGUGGGGGUACCAGCUUGAAAGGGCGACUCCUGAACACUAUGAACUUUUUCAUCUGUGAAUUUUGCUCAGAACAGGUUAAAAACUAACUAUUGCUCUCCCUCAUCCUUUUUGCACUUUCUCCAGGGCUCAGGGGCAGGAAGCAAUCUCAGGCUUUUCAAUGUGGUUUCUCACGGUGGCUGUGGCUUCAGCAUCAGUACCUGCAGAACUUUUGGCAGUCCCUUCCAACCAGUUGGCAGGUGCUCUCAUUUUAAAUCUUUUCCUCUGAUUAUGGAUGAUGAGCCAGGAACCUGACAGAGGUACUGUUUUGACAGACAGAGUUU
Molecule: RNA transcript, 4746 nt
Organism: Egretta garzetta (little egret)
Lineage: Eukaryota; Metazoa; Chordata; Aves; Pelecaniformes; Ardeidae
Gene: TRNAU1AP
Gene name: tRNA selenocysteine 1 associated protein 1
Exons: 10
Source: RefSeq, a predicted model, not a curated record